RNAcentral lists this ribosomal RNA (540 nucleotides) under Triticum aestivum (bread wheat). Its description in RNAcentral is "partial small subunit ribosomal RNA". Lineage: Eukaryota; Viridiplantae; Streptophyta; Magnoliopsida; Poales; Poaceae. The record is from RNAcentral.
AUGGCCGCGUACGCAGCAAAAGGAAGGCGUGGAGUGCGAUCACGCGACGGCCGCAAGCGCCGGGGGGUCGUCGAGGAGAGCGGCGGCUGGGCGUCGCUCCCCAGCGACAUGGUUCGCCUCGUCGCCGCGUGGGUGCUGGUCACCGGGGACGUGGUGGACUACCUGGUCCUCCGCGCCGUCUGCUCCGGUUGGCGAGCAUGCACGCCCGACGGCCGCAUUGGAAGCCUAGGGAGAAAGAAGCAGCUGUGCCUCCGCCCGCGCGGCUGGGUCGCGCUUUGCGACGGCGACGCGGUGCGCCCGGACGGCGCCCGCGCGGUCACCUUCUUCAAGCCCAGCACCGGCCGCCGCCUCCGUGUCCGCCUCCCGAACCUCCGGGGCUACAGGAUCGUCGCCAUUAGCGACGGCCUCCUCGUCCUGCUCCACAAGCGCACCACCGCCGUCCGCGUGCUCCACCCCUUCACCCGCGCAGUGCUCGACCUCCCGCCCAUCGCCCCGACCUUCCGCGUGAUGGCAGGGAGCCGGGACUCUCUCCUCCGCAUG